UGGGGGAUAUUGCACAAUGGGCGAAAGCCUGAUGCAGCGACGCCGCGUGGGGGAUGAAGGCUUUCGGGUUGUAAACCUCUUUCGCUAUCGAACAAGGCCCGCUUAGGGUGGGUUGAGGGUAGGUGGAGAAGAAGCGCCGGCUAACUACGUGCCAGCAGCCGCGGUAAUACGUAGGGCGCGAGCGUUGUCCGGAAUUAUUGGGCGUUAAGGGCUUGUAGGCGGCUUGUUGCGCCUGCUGUGAAAACGCGGGGCUUAACUUCGCGCGUGCAGUGGGUACGGGCAGGCUUGAGUGUGGUAGGGGUGACUGGAAUUCCAGGUGUAGCGGUGGAAUGCGCAGAUAUCUGGAGGAACACCGAUGGCGAAGGCAGGUCACUGGGCCAUUACUGACGCUGAGGAGCGAAAGCAUGGGUAGCGAACAGG
RNAcentral lists this ribosomal RNA (420 nucleotides) under bacterium. RNAcentral describes it as "partial 16S ribosomal RNA". It matches the Rfam family "Bacterial small subunit ribosomal RNA", at positions 355 to 776 of the family's 1533-position model. The record is from RNAcentral.